RNAcentral lists this ribosomal RNA (805 nucleotides) under uncultured bacterium. RNAcentral's name for it is "bacterial SSU rRNA". It matches the Rfam family "Bacterial small subunit ribosomal RNA", at positions 8 to 796 of the family's 1533-position model. The record is from RNAcentral.
AGAGUUUGAUCCUGGCUCAGACGAACGCUGGCGGCGUGCCUAACACAUGCAAGUCGAACGCGAAAAGCAGUAAUGCUGAGUAGAGUGGCGCACGGGUGAGUAACACGUAAAUGACAUGUCUUGGAGAGAGGGAUAACUGUUCGAAAGGAUAGCUAAUACCUCAUAAGCCCACGUCCUUGGGGAUGCGGGAAAAGGGUCGGGACCUUUCGAGGCCGAUCGCUUCUUGAGUGGUUUGCGGCCCAUCAGGUAGUUGGCGAGGUAACGGCUCACCAAGCCUAAGACGGGUAGCUGGUCUGAGAGGAUGAUCAGCCACACUGGAACUGAGACACGGUCCAGACUCCUACGGGAGGCAGCAGUGGGGAAUCUUGCGCAAUGGGAGCAAUCCUGACGCAGCAACGCCGCGUGGGUGAUGAAGGUCUUCGGAUCGUAAAGCCCUGUCGGAGGGGAAGAUGCUUGGAACGUCUAAUAGAUGAGCCAGGUGACGGUACCCUCAAAGGAAGCACCGGCUAACUCUGUGCCAGCAGCCGCGGUAAUACAGAGGGUGCAAGCGUUGUUCGGAAUUAUUGGGCGUAAAGGGAGUGUAGGCGGUUUUCUAAGUCUUCUGUGAAAUCUACGGGCUUAGCCUGUAACGUGCAGAGGAAACUGGAAGGCUUGAGUGUCGGAGAGGAUAGGGGAAUUCCCGGUGUAGAGGUGAAAUUCGUAGAGAUCGGGAGGAACACCAGUGGCGAAGGGCCUAUCUGGCUGACAACUGACGCUGAGACUCGAAAGCAUGGGGAGCAAACAGGAUUAGAUACCCUAGUAGUCC